RNAcentral lists this ribosomal RNA (233 nucleotides) under uncultured bacterium. RNAcentral describes it as "partial 16S ribosomal RNA". It matches the Rfam family "Bacterial small subunit ribosomal RNA", at positions 794 to 1023 of the family's 1533-position model. The record is from RNAcentral.
UCCACGCCGUAAACGAUGUCUACUAGGUUGCGGGUGUUCUGACACAGUCGCGACCGAAGCAAAAGUGUUAAGUAGACCGCCUGGGGAGUACGGUCGCAAGGCUAAAACUCAAAGGAAUUGACGGGGGCUCACACAAGCGGUGGAGCAUGUGGAUUAAUUCGAAACAACGCGCAGAACCUUACCUGGGUUUGACAUGUUUGGAUGCCUAUCUGGAAACAGAGUCGGUUGCCCUU